Molecule: small RNA, 76 nt
Filed under: Flavobacterium crassostreae
Lineage: Bacteria; Pseudomonadati; Bacteroidota; Flavobacteriia; Flavobacteriales; Flavobacteriaceae
Description: Flavo-1 RNA
Rfam family: Flavo-1 RNA
Source: Rfam by way of RNAcentral
GUCUAGCCCAGAUGGAAAUGGCAUCCUUUUGUGCCAGUGUUUGGCAUAAAAGAUAUAAUGGACAGCUGGUGUGGGA